UGGGGAAUUUUGGACAAUGGGCGAAAGCCUGAUCCAGCAAUGCCGCGUGUGUGAAGAAGGCCUUCGGGUUGUAAAGCACUUUUGUCCGGAAAGAAAUCCUUGGCUCUAAUACAGUCGGGGGAUGACGGUACCGGAAGAAUAAGCACCGGCUAACUACGUGCCAGCAGCCGCGGUAAUACGUAGGGUGCAAGCGUUAAUCGGAAUUACUGGGCGUAAAGCGUGCGCAGGCGGUUUGCUAAGACCGAUGUGAAAUCCCCGGGCUCAACCUGGGAACUGCAUUGGUGACUGGCAGGCUAGAGUAUGGCAGAGGGGGGUAGAAUUCCACGUGUAGCAGUGAAAUGCGUAGAGAUGCGGAGGAAUACCGAUGGCGAAGGCAGCCCCCUGGGCCAAUACUGACGCUCAUGCACGAAAGCGUGGGGAGCAAACAGGAUUAGAUACCCUGGUAGUCCACGCCCUAAAACGAUGUCAACUAGUUGUUGGGGAUUCAUUUCCUUAGUAACGUAGCUAACGCGUGAAGUUGACCGCCUGGGGAGUACGGUCGCAAGAUUAAAACUUAAAGGAAUUGACGGGGUCAUAGCUGUUUCCU
Molecule: ribosomal RNA, 586 nt
Filed under: uncultured bacterium
Lineage: Bacteria
Description: partial 16S ribosomal RNA
Rfam family: Bacterial small subunit ribosomal RNA
Source: RNAcentral